GCAGCUCAGUAUAUAUACCAUGACAGCCUUACAUGAACCACAUUAGCCAUCUUACACAAAGAGGGGUGGCAUUUCAUGUCAGUCUACAUGUACCAUGAUUGCCUGGGGUAGAUAUCGUAACAUGCUAGCAGACCAGUAUGGGUCAGUCUGCCGGUACUCUAACAGUCUGUGUACACUGUGACAGCACACAUCUUAUCAGCCUGCAUGCUCCAUCACAGCCACUGCCUGUCCUAACAGCCCAGCACCAGCCAUUCUGCAGAUAUAAUGACAAAUACAGACUGUGAUCACCCAGUGUGUGGCAGUCUACAUGGACCAGGAUAGUCAGUACAUAAUGUGAUGGCUCAUAAUGUGUCCAGACUUUUGCUCUGACAAUGCAGCUUGGUGUGUUGUCCCUGUGUAUGUGUGCUGUAUAUGCUUAAUUUACCUACACUGGUUCUACUUGUACUUCUUUCCAUUGCAUUGGCUUCUAUUUCAGAUUACUUGCUUUCUGUUUCCACUUCCUGCAAGUGUUUGUGUCUAUUUGCUUUCCUCAUUCCAGAGGGCCACAACAGCCUAUUGGCUAGCUAUCACUUGAUGUUUUUUUGAACUAGGAGCACUUGGGUGGCUCAUUUGGUUAAGUAUCUGACUCUUAGUUUUGGCUCAGGCUGUGAUCUCAGGGUUGUGGGAUUGAGCCCCACAUGGAGUCCUUCACCAGGCUUCGUGCUCAGUGUGGAGUCUGCUUGAGAGAUUCUCUCUCCCCCUUUCCCACUGCCCCUCCUUCUACUCAUGCUCCCUCUCUCACUCUCUCAAAAAUAAAUAAUUUUAUUUAUUUAGUCAUGAGAGACACACAGAGAGAGAGGCAGAGACAUAGGCAGAGGGAGAAGCAGGAUCCAUGUAGGAAGCCUGGCGCGGGACUUGAUCCUGGGACUGUGGGACCAUUCCCUGAGCCAAAGACAGAUGCUCAACCACUGAGUCACCCAGGUGCCCCAAGAUUUAUUUAUUUAUUUUACAGAAAAAGACGGGGAUGGAGGGAGAAAGAGAGAGGGGGAGAGAGAGAGAGACACUAGGGGGAAGGACAGAGGGAAAGCAUCUUUAAGCAGACUCUCCACUGAGCUCAGAGCCUGUUGUCUGUGGGGCUAGAUCUCAUGAAGUGUGAGGUCACAACCUGAGCUGAAACCAAGAGUCGAACACUUAACUGACUGAGCCACCCAGGCACCCCUUUAAUUUUAAUUUUUUGAGGAACCUUCAUUUUGUUUUCCAUAAUGGUUGCACCAAUUUGCAUUCCCACCAGUGGUGCAUAAGAGUUCCUUUUUCUCCACAUCAUUGCCAGCCACCAUUCUGACAUCACAUCACUUUCCCAUAUUCUUUUGGUUAAAAUAAGUCACAAGGCUAGCCCAGUUCAAGGGGGAUGGGAAAUAGACUCAAUUUCUUGAUUGAAGGAGUGGUAAAAUCACAUUGAAAAAGGAUAUGUGGAAUGGGAGGGAUGGUUUUGGCAGUCUGGGGGGAGGGAUGGUUUUCCCAAUUUGUCCUUGGGAAAAUUAUUUAACUACCUGAUUUCACAUUCUUCACCUGUGAAAUAGGAAAUAACACUGCUUAGGAAUGUUGUCACUAAUAAAUUAAGAAAGUGUGUUUAGCAUCUCAUACAUUGUAGUAGACACUAACAGCCAUAAAAAAAAAAAACAACAACAUAUAUUGACUGAGCCUGUGUUGUGUGACAGCACUGUUCCAGGUCCUUUUAUGUAAUCUUUAUAACAAUUCACUAAUGCAUAUAUUAGUAUUAUCUGAAGAGAAACCCUAGGCACAAAAUUUUAAGUAACUUCCAUAAGGUUGGUUCCAGAGUAACUAUUCUAAAUUGCAUAUGUCAUACUGCCUGCUACAUCCAAAGGGCACCUCUUAGUUUUUGUCUGUGUAGGCUCUGUUGAUAAUUGAUGGCUGUAGAUCACUCCUCCAUCAAAUGUUCUUCCUCCUUUGGCCCCCACGACUCCCCUCUGUCCAGUGUUUUCUCUGUCACUGCUGCCUUUCAAUCUCCUCCUUACUGAACCACAUUUUAAAUGACAAAGCUCUCUCCCAUUUUUCCAGCUCUCCUUGCCUGGAGGAAUCCAUCCAAUAUGGCAACUCAAUUUCUCUUUCUAUGGAUGAUUUCCAGUCUCCCCUCUCUCCAUAACUCUAGGCUUCCAGUUCUAAGCAUUUUCCAUUAUUCACCACAUAUGACCCAGGUCAGUUUGUGAAACUUCUAUGUCUUUCAUUCUAUCUCAUCCCAUUGAUUGCAGUCCUGUCAACUAAUACUUGAAAUGUUUUUCCAGUUUAGAUGUUCUUGCCAAUCUGCUAGUGCCUUUGGCCUGAUCUAGGCCCUCAUUGUAUCUUAACUGGCUUAUCAAAGUAAUUUUUUUAAAAGUUUUUAAAAUUUAUUUAUUCAUGAGAGACAGAGACGGAGAGAGAGAGGCAGAGACACAGGCAGAGGGAGAAGCAGGCUCCAUGCAGGAGCCUGACGUGGGACUUGAUCGUGGAACUCCAGGAUCAAACCCUGGACUGAAGGCAGCGCUAAACCGCUGAGCCAUCCAGGCUGCCCUCAAUGUAAUUUUUUGACUGGACUCCCGCUUUCAGUUCCUCUCUGAGGUGGUCACAUCAGUAGUAUAUUUAUACAUGCUUGAACAUACACCUCCUCCCCACCAUUACUAUACUAGCCCUAGCCCCUUGCUCUCUCUCUGGUUCCCCCUUCACCAUUACAUAGUUCCCUCCUUUCAGGGACCAGCCUCUGCACUACCUCCUCCACAGGCUCCCCCCCUUCAGCUGGCUUCAUCUCCUUCCUCGUUUUCCUAGGUCAGAGUCAACCUGUCUUUUCACUGUCUAGUUAUCUUUAUAACUCUGCAUUUUCUCUGCUGUUCUAAUAUAAGAUGCUUGAGGCCCUAGCACCGUUCACAGCAGGAUUUCAGAGCUCUCUGUUCAGCGAACACUCUGGCAUCCUGAAAUACCUUCCUGCACAGUAUUAUUUGCUAUGAGGUGUCCCUAGCAACAGCACAACCUAUGGCUAAGAGUGCCAGCUGUGGAGAGUCAACUCUAAUUGUUUUAUAGCAGGGCCAGGACACUAAUUUUACUUGAAGCUAAUAAUAAUAAUAAUUAUUAUUAUUACUAUGUAAUAAUACCAUGCCUCCUCAAGUAUGAACUCGGGCAAGUGAUGCCUUUCUGAGUCUGAGGUUGCUAAAAUGAGGAUAACAGUUACAGACCUUGCUGGGCUGUCAAGGGAAUGAAUUGAGAUAAUGUAUUUAAAAGGCUCGUGGCGUAGAGCCCGGCACCCCUCUUCUUCUCCCUCCCACCCCCCCAAGAGUUCAGUACUUCGGAGUUAUUUCUGGGCUUAUUGCCUGGGAGGCUGAAGAGGGGAGUUCAUGAGAGGCGCCCAGAGUUCCCUUCCAAAAAAGCUCUGAUUCUG
Molecule: long non-coding RNA, 3406 nt
Filed under: Canis lupus familiaris (dog)
Lineage: Eukaryota; Metazoa; Chordata; Mammalia; Carnivora; Canidae
Description: lncRNA (ENSCAFG00040005345.1)
Source: RNAcentral